GUCUAUGGUCAUACCACCCUGAACACGCCCGAUCUCGUCUGAUCUCAGAAAAGUAUAGGAGGAUUAUCAAUUGCCCCAAAUU
This 82-nucleotide ribosomal RNA is filed under the name Capra hircus (goat). Lineage: Eukaryota; Metazoa; Chordata; Mammalia; Artiodactyla; Bovidae. The record is from RNAcentral.